Molecule: ribosomal RNA, 711 nt
Filed under: Triticum aestivum (bread wheat)
Lineage: Eukaryota; Viridiplantae; Streptophyta; Magnoliopsida; Poales; Poaceae
Description: partial small subunit ribosomal RNA
Source: RNAcentral
AUGCUGAAGUUGGACUUCUCCAAGGCCUUUGAUUCAGUUAACUGGGAGAGUCUCCAUUCCAUCAUGCAGGCUCGAGGCUUCUCGGCUGCGUGGUGUGACUGGAUUGACGAGAUCCUCCGCUCAUCUCGCUCGGCGGUCAUGCUAAAUGGGGUUCCUAGGAGAUGGUUUGAUAUGAAGUGUGGGCUCCGCCAGGGUGACCCGAUCUCGCCUUACCUCUUCCUGAUCGUUGCGGGCGUGCUGCAGCAGCUGAUCCGUCAGGACGCAGUGAUGCAGCAUCCGCUGGUGCCCGGCUCCCCGGCUGUUGUGCUUCAAUAUGCCGAUGACACACUGAUCAUCAUGAGGGCCUGCGAGGAGGGCGUGAUUCGCCUCCGUCAGAUCCUGGAUGAGUUUGCUAAAGCGACCGGGCUGUGGAUCAACUUUGCCAAGAGCACACUUGUUCCGAUGCAUGUUGAACAAGAAACCCAAUGUGUGGUUGUUCGGGCGCUGGGCUGCUCGGUGGGGGCCUUCCCGCAAACGUAUCUCGGUUUGCCACUGUCCUGGGAGAAAUUGAAGUUCGCAGACUUUCUGCCGAUGCUAGCCAAGGUCGACAAAUAUCUUGCUGGCUGGGCGGCGCGCCUCCUAUCUCCUGCUGCGCGCCUGGUUCUUAUCAACGCAGUUUUUGAUGCCUUACCAACCUACCCAUGGCAGCCCUGCUCCUCCCCCCUUCUUUGA